AGCUGACCUUAAGAAGGACAUUA
Molecule: ribosomal RNA, 23 nt
Filed under: Osmoporus protractus
Lineage: Eukaryota; Fungi; Basidiomycota; Agaricomycetes; Gloeophyllales; Gloeophyllaceae
Description: partial 18S small subunit ribosomal RNA
Source: RNAcentral